UGCAGCCCCGCACAACCAUCUAUUGUGCGAUGGAUGGUGCAUGUUAUGUGCCGCACCAAGCGAUACACAGUAAGGGAUCCAUUCUUUAGAUAUAAAAGAUAGAUGGAUGGGAUUGAGAUAGGAUAUUGAAAAUUAAAUAAAAAAAUAAUUAAUAAAAAAAAAAAGAAAAGAGAAAGAGAGAGUGAGAGAGAUCAAAGUGGUAUAAGAGA
Molecule: long non-coding RNA, 209 nt
Filed under: Elaeis guineensis (African oil palm)
Lineage: Eukaryota; Viridiplantae; Streptophyta; Magnoliopsida; Arecales; Arecaceae
Description: long non-coding RNA (EGUI_LNC025138)
Source: RNAcentral